Molecule: long non-coding RNA, 4084 nt
Organism: Mesoplodon densirostris (Blainville's beaked whale)
Lineage: Eukaryota; Metazoa; Chordata; Mammalia; Artiodactyla; Ziphiidae
Exons: 5
Source: RefSeq, a predicted model, not a curated record
AGGGAGGGAGGGAUCCGAAAAUUAGUCACUAAAAAAAAAAAAGCCCCAGGCACUUCAUGCCUGGAAAUGAUGUAAGACGCAGCCACUCCUCUGUUAGAACUACAACCAAACAAUGCUCGGCGAUCGCGGCAGCUGCUCUCCAAAUGUCAGCGCCAAGCCCGGCCAAAGGGCUGGAAGGCCACCGAGCCCAGGACUUUGUGCGCUACCUUUGUCGCCCACAUUUUCCCCAAGCACUCUCAGGACCCUGGCAACAGGUAACGUGGCAACCUUUUCCUUCUAAAACGGCAAGCGGCAGGAUUUCAGAGAACAAAAGGAUUUUUUGAAAGCCAGCUGCAUCUCCCUCGCCACCCCUCCCCCUCCCCCCCACGCCCUCCCCCUUCGCCACUCCAAGUCUGAGAAAACAAAGUAUUGCUGCGGCAGCCCGGCUCUCGAGCGCCCCCUGGUGACCAAGCUCGGAACAUCACCGAUGUACCUUUCAAGGUACAACUUCAGUCCGAGGCUCGGCUCCCAGCAAGGGAAACCUGGAAUGCAAUCACACAGCCCAGCAGGACUCUCCGCCGUGGGGCACACAGCGGACCUCAGCGGGUACUGAGCUCUGAGGCCAGAUGGAGUCGCUGACUGGCUCCAGGUGAGAGCAGGGUCUCGGGCACACACUGCCCACUGGUCUCCCUUGAAACGGUGAGCUGGCCAUGCAGAGUGAGGGUGCUGAGCCCACACCCGGUGAGGUCAUGUCUCAUGAUGGUCCAUCGGGCUGAGUCCUCACUGAAACCUCUGGCUGGAUCGAUCAGGAGCCUCUGCUCUCUGGCCAACACCCUGGGCUUCGGAGAGAAGGCAGACCUUGUGUCAAAGCAGCCUGAUGCUGCUGCCCUGUGGACAGAGGGCUUGGCCGGCUGGCUCCACCUGGAGCAGAAGCUUUUGCAUCAGACAAACUGGGGGAAACAGGAUAUAUGAGGAAGCAAAGAAGAAAGAAAAUGUAUCCAGCAUGUCUUCCUGUCAGUUGGAGGGCGAUGAGAAAUAAUCACCUGUGUCUGGAGAGCAAGGCAUGUAGGGGGGCCUGAUCUGUGCAGUGAGGCAGUUAAUUAUUCGUCUGACUUCUUUCCGCUUUCCUCCCUGAAAUCCCCCUCCUCAAAGGAAAAACAGGAUAGACUUUGUGGGUUAAGCUGUGGAAUACUGUCUACCAGCCCGCUGGGCCCAGAAAGGACACCAGCCCCUUACUGACUCUCAGAUGACAGGAUCAGUGCUUCAAAAUGACACCUCAUUAUCCAACUGUGUCACUGACAGAUGAGGACACAGAUCCAGAGAAGAACUUGGCUGGGGCCCCCCAGUCUUCUUCUGUCUGCACCACACAGCAAACACCAUCAGCCUUUACAGUGGGUUCAUAAAGGGCCACUUCAGACUGCAUUCACAAUUCCACUGUACAGUUGGGUUUUGGUCAUUUGCCAGAAUUAAAUAAAAAUAUCAAGGAACCCUCCUACACUGUUGGUGGGAAUGUAAAUUAGUACAACCGCUAUGGAGAACAGUAUGGAGUUUCCUGAAGAAACUAAAAAUAGAACUACCAUAUCACCCAGCAAUCCCACUCCUGGGCAUAUAUCCAGAGAAAACCAUAAAAAAAUAAAAAAGACACAUGCACCCCAAUGUUCAUUGCAACACUAUUUAUAGUAGCCAAGACAUGAAGCAACCUAAAUGUCCAUCAACAGAGGAAUGGAUAAAGAAGAUGUGGCCGAAUGCCAUCCACACAAAAGAGCUCCUGUCGACAUCUCAUUUACAAUCUACCCCCAGGACACAGACAGGACCAUUUCAAUAAACCCGGCUCAGAAACACCUAUUGUUCAAAAUCUUCAACUAGCCACAGGCUACCACCACUCCCUAUUGUUUUGUAAAAUAAAAGAUUUAGAAGGAGCCAGAUUGGGACCUGGAAGCUCUGAAAAGAGGAAGGAAAAAAGUCCCUUUGACCCGAUGCUGUUGGAGAACGUGCGUGAAGAAUAAAGUUGAUGGAUUUUCAUUUUUACAAGAAGUGCAUAAGCAACGCCCGCUCCCUUCCUGAACUCGUGAUCGGGGAUUCUAAAAGCGGUGCCAACUUUGUAAAGAAGUUAACUCCUGCCAACGGGUCUGGUACCUGAAAAGUCAAAGGCUCUACUUACCCUAUUCUCUGUCUUACAGAAGCCCUGAUGGCAGCCACAGCAAAGCACCAGAUCCUAUGAUUUCCUCUCUGGAGGAUGACAGCAACUUCCUACCUCAGCCAGCGUUCCUCAAACUACCUGUUGUGACUUAUUAACGGAUCAUGAAAUCAGUUGAGGUAUCAGCUGAGGUGUCGCCUCUUCCAGGAAGGCUUCCGGAAGUCCCUCUAAACGCCUCUUAGUUCUCAUGAGAACCCCUGACGUUUUAUCUGACAGAGCACUUAUUGCAUCAUGAUUAUCUUCUCGGUUCCUUACAGAACUUUAAGCUCCAAGGGGCAGCCAGUAUAUAUUUGUUGGGGGUAAAUAUUGUGCAUCGAAUGUGUCACAUCUUACGCAGUUCACACUUCCUUCCUACAAACCCAUUUGGAUAGUUAUAAAAUACCGUAUCUCUGUUUCUCAAAGCUUGAGUUUUCAUUCGUUUACACUGAAGUGUCUCUUGUUCAUUUGCUCUUCAAACACAACCUAAUUAACUUCCGAAUUCACUGGACUCCUCCUCUUAAAACUCAAAAUAAUAAAAUGCGGGGAAAGCUGUUGUACCCCUGGCUGGUCACUCACCCUCUCUGAGCCUCAGAUAAUACAGAGGAGCAGAGCUCAAUGACCUCUAAGAUCUCUUCCAGGCUGCCACUCUGAACCUCUGGCUUGCACUAAGGACCAGAGAGGUUAAGUGACUUUCCCAAGGUCAAACAGCUCUCUAGUGGCACGAUAUUGUCUGUCUUUCUAUAGAUUUUUAACAGCAAGCUGCAAACAAAAAAACCUUCUACCCAGAAAUCGGUAGUGCCACUAAAAAGUGUGCCUGAAAGAGAAUCAUAAAAUUAAAGAAGGGACUUCCCAGGUGGCGCAGCGGUUAAGACUCUGUGCUCCCAAUGCCAGGGGCCCAGGUUCAGUCCCUGGCCAGGGAACUAGAUCCCACAGCUAAGGAGCCCUUGAGCUGCAACUAAGACCCAGCGCAACCAAAUAAACAAAUAUUUUUAAAUAAUAAAUAAAUAAAAUUAAAGAAAUAGGGGACUAAAAAAACCCAAAAGCCAACAGCAUUCAUAACGGGUUCCUGCCCAGGCAGGUCCCAACAUUUUAAAAACCAAUCUUGCUGUUAGAUGCAGAGAUGUUCAGAUUUCCUUUUAAAAACUGGAAGUGAAAAAUUCAAGAAACUUUUGCAUCCUGACCCCUUGUAGAUGCCCUUCUGCAGAGGCACAAAUGGACCCAGCCUUCCUCAAGGUACUGAUUCGAGCAUCCCAGUGGCUUUUUUAGUGCUGAGGCCCUCGUGCCUUGAUCUGAUGCCACUCUGAGGACCAAAGCUGUAACUCACCAGGAUGAGACUUGGCCUCAGUUCCUGUACCCCAUCCCCCAUCCCUCCCGGCCAGGACCACCUCGCAGUCCCUGCUUUCAAGGACAGACUUGUGUUAUUUCCUUAGUUACAGAGUUUGGGCGUUAGAUAACCUGCUCUGUAAAAUAGAAAGUCAACAAACCAGAAAUACACCCCUUUAGGGAAAAAAAGAAACAAAAACAAUAGCUAUACUACUUUUCCCUCCUAUGUUAUGUGCUAUGUUUUAUUCUAUAAUGUAAGUCAGCGUGUACAUUUGUUUUAUUUGUUGCUUUUCCCCCUCUAAACAGACCAGCAGUAGCUUGCCUUCAUUUGACGGAAAAUUUGUCACUUUCUACUGCAACCCUGUAUAAAACCACUAUGUAUGUGAGGACUCCAUGCACACCAAGUAGUUAUAGCCAAGCCGUGGACUUAUGGAUGAUUUUUACUUUAUUUUUUGAGCUUCUUGGAAUUUUCUGAUUUAAAAAAAUGAAUACUUGUUACUAUUGUAAUCAUAACAAAGUGCAAAUGUCAAAAUAAAGACCAGAUACACUAUUAUUUCUACACUGCCAUGAUCCCUGACUAAAUUAAAUAGCUUUAUUUUUACCAUA